UUUCUACUGCCAUUCAUCCACUUUUCAAAAUAUAAAUAAACUGUUACUGACUUGAAUUGACAUUAAACUAAGUAAAUCCCUGAAUUCUCAUUUCUUAAAAGUGAACACUUAGGGCUUUGGCUGGGUUUUCUUUAAUUUCUGGAUUUCUAACUUCAUCAUUUCUGUUGUAGGGCCACCAUUCUAUGUCGCUGAUUCAGACGUGAAAAGUUUAUUUGGAAAAGACUGCGACAUUCAUUGUCUUGAAAAAGUCUAUAGUUUGGAAGAGCGACAUAAGAAGUGGGGUUUAGAUUAUUUAUGGGAGGUUUUAUACUUGAUUACAUUGAAAGAACCAAGAUGAUUCCUAGACCUACCCCUCGGAGGAUGAGAAGAACCACUUGGUUGCCAGACACCAUAAUGUUUCUGGACUGAGGAUCGAUCAUUCUUCAGAUACUUUCUUCGAUUAUCAAUAUCUCUGAGAAUAAUUUUCUUGAAAUUUGGAUAUUAGAGUGGAUAAUAAGUGUGUCUUAUAUUUUUCUUAGAUUAAAUACUAUAUUAAAUACUAAUAAUUAUAUAUCAACGUAUAGUGAGAAAUAAUAUAGAGAAUUAAUUUAUUGCUCUACAAAGUGUAUCAUAAGUGUAUAUCUUAUUGAUGAAUUUGGAUCUUUGGGGAAAGGAUUUAGAACGGCGAUUAAGAGGUGAGCAAAAGGUGAUAGGUUGAAUAUUGAAAAGAAAGAAACUAGAGGGAGCAUAAUUAUGGAGAAUUGUGGAUGGAGAGCAAGGUUAAGUACAAAUCAAAAUCUAAAAAUAAUAUUUAAAUUACUGGAUGUUAAUUUGGGAUAACGUUUAUAAAAUUUUGAAAGAACAGAACAAAAUCUUAAAAGAAAUGACAAGUAUCACUACAACAACACUGAAGGCUGG
This is a non-coding RNA of Notechis scutatus (mainland tiger snake), 897 nucleotides long. NCBI's taxonomy places the organism in Eukaryota, Metazoa, Chordata, Lepidosauria, Squamata, Elapidae. The record is from RefSeq and is a predicted model, not a curated record.